GAUGAACGCUGGCGGCGUGCCUAAUACAUGCAAGUAGAACGCUGAAGGAGGAGCUUGCUCUUCUGGAUGAGUUGCGAACGGGUGAGUAACGCGUAGGUAACCUGCCUGGUAGCGGGGGAUAACUAUUGGAAACGAUAGCUAAUACAGCAUGACAACAGUUAUUGCAUGAUAACCGUUUAAAAGGGGCACCUGCUCCACUACCAGAUGGCCCUGCGUUGUAUUAGCUAGUUGGUGAGGUAACGGCUCACCAAGGCGACGAUACAUAGCCGACCUGAGAGGGUGAACCGCCACACUGGGACUGAGACACGGCCCAGACUCCUACGGGAGGCAGCAGUAGGGGAUCAUCGGCAAAGGGCGGAAGGCUGAACGAGGAACGCCGGGGGGGGGAAGAAAGGUCUCGGAUCGGAAAGCUCUGUUGGAAGGGAAGGAAGAGCGGGAGAGUGGAAAGUUCACGUUGUGACGGUAUCUAACCAGAAAGCGACGGCUAACUACGUG
RNAcentral lists this ribosomal RNA (495 nucleotides) under uncultured bacterium. RNAcentral's name for it is "partial 16S ribosomal RNA". It matches the Rfam family "Bacterial small subunit ribosomal RNA", at positions 28 to 507 of the family's 1533-position model. The record is from RNAcentral.